This 252-nucleotide ribosomal RNA is filed under the name uncultured bacterium. RNAcentral's name for it is "partial 16S ribosomal RNA". It matches the Rfam family "Bacterial small subunit ribosomal RNA", at positions 524 to 776 of the family's 1533-position model. The record is from RNAcentral.
UACGUAGGGCGCGAGCGUUGUCCGGAAUUAUUGGGCGUAAAGAGCUCGUAGGCGGCCUGUUGCGUCCGCUGUGAAAGCCCGGGGCUUAACCCCGGGUCGCAGUGGAUACGGGCAGGCUAGAGGUAGGUAGGGGAGAAUGGAAUUCCCGGUGUAGCGGUGAAAUGCGCAGAUAUCGGGAGGAACACCGGUGGCGAAGGCGGUUCUCUGGGCCUUACCUGACGCUGAGGAGCGAAAGCGUGGGGAGCGAACAGG